Molecule: long non-coding RNA, 1375 nt
Organism: Astatotilapia calliptera (eastern happy)
Lineage: Eukaryota; Metazoa; Chordata; Actinopteri; Cichliformes; Cichlidae
Source: Ensembl
GUUCCUUCCCACUGUAUUGAGGUUUUUUCUUUUUAAUUGUAGACUUUCUACCUUACAAUCUAUACCACCUCGAGGAGAAUGUUGUUGUGAUUCAGCUCUGCAUAAAUACAAUUAAAUCGAAUUAAGUGGGUUCAGCUAAUUUGUGAAAUAAAUGUGAGUGACACGGUAAGUAAUAGCCUGCAUGUAACUCAUUGUAAGAAGAGCAAUAUCGCCCCCUCCUGGUUCAACUUUUUUUUCUUUGCAGUAAUCUUUCCAAUAAUAAUACAUAUGCACUAACCUCAUGCUUGCUGUUAACAAUAGCCUAAAGACAUAAAAUCAAGUUUAGUUUUUUCUUUAAGUUUAUGUUUUUUAUAUGGUUGGCAUUUAUUUUGUUUCUUUUUAAUAAUUAUAUUGAUUCUAUUGAUUGUUUGCCAAGCACUGAGGUCUCUGCUUAGACUGUGCUACUGGGAUCACUGAUUUAAAAAUGAGGCAAAAGCACCAAAGUUGUGCUCAAAAACAGUACAGUGAGCUACAACCUGUUGCUGUAGUAAUUCUAACACACUUAUUGUUUUUAAAUACAUACAUGUUUAGUUUUUUUAAACCUAAUUAUAUAAUCUUUUUUUGCAAAAGUGUCACCUAAACACCCAAAUAUACGUAAUUCAAAACUUACUUUAAUUAUUACCCAUUUGGCUGGUAACAUGGACCCAGUCUGAUGGAUAGUUACUGAACAGAUAGUCUUUUCUUUAAAGGCUGCAGUCAAAGCAAAUCAUUGUAAAAACAAGACAAGUCAAUAAAAAACAAGUAAUAACUAUAAUAUUAAACUACAAUAGAGAGAAAAUCCAGUAAAUAUAAUUAUAUUAUGUAAAAAAAUAUACAAAUAUUUACCUCUAAUUUAAAAAGACAUUACAAGGGUACUAGUUUCAUUUUAAUCUAAACAUAAUCUAAAUUGACACUAAAUCAGUUUAAAUAUUACAGCUGAAGGUGAUUUUAAUAAAUGUACUGCUGCUUGACUUUGUUUUACUACUGCAGUAUAAUUUAUCAUGUACAAAAGCUCCAAAUGUUGUUUCUCUGACUUAAUGUUCUGAUGACGUUUGUGUUAUUUUGCAGGAAAUAGUCAGGACCCAGAUGAACCUGUGCUGGAAUUCAGUGUGGGCUAGGGCCUAUUAUAUGCUGUAGCCUGAAGGCAGCUGAGUUGCAGAGGAUGGAGUGAUCACUGGCUUUCUACUUACAGGGUGGUGGGUCUCAGAGGACAAUUGCUACCCCUGUUGAAGUGAACAACGUGUGGAGUGCAACUGGCUUUGUGGCAUAGCUGGCUCUGGCCUUGGACUGUGUGUUUUUACUUUGUACCUAAAUGGGACACUGGACUUGUAACUAUUAUUCAUUGUGUUUAUAAAUA